RNAcentral lists this ribosomal RNA (459 nucleotides) under uncultured bacterium. Its description in RNAcentral is "partial 16S ribosomal RNA". It matches the Rfam family "Bacterial small subunit ribosomal RNA", at positions 338 to 795 of the family's 1533-position model. The record is from RNAcentral.
CCUACGGGUGGCAGCAGUGAGGAAUAUUGGUCAAUGGCCGGAAGGCUGAACCAGCCAAGCCGCGUGAAGGACGAAGGUGCCAAGCAUUGUAAACUUCUUUUGUCAAGGGACAAAAUCAGGCUCGAGAGCCUGACCGAGGGUACUUGAAGAAAAAGCAUCGGCUAACUCCGUGCCAGCAGCCGCGGUAAUACGGAGGAUGCGAGCGUUAUCCGGAUUUAUUGGGGGAAAGGGGUGCGUAGGCGGACUGUUAAGUCAGCGGUAAAAGCCCGGGGCUCAACCCCGGCGAGCCGUUGAAACUGGCUGUCUUGAGAUGUCGAGAGGUAGGCGGAAUGCGCAGUGUAGCGGUGAAAUGCGUAGAUAUUGCGCAGAACGCCGAUUGCGAAGGCAGCAUACCGGCGGCGAUCUGACGCUGAGGCACGAAAGCGUGGGGAGCGAACAGGAUUAGAUACCCUAGUAGUC